This 503-nucleotide ribosomal RNA is filed under the name uncultured bacterium. Its description in RNAcentral is "partial 16S ribosomal RNA". It matches the Rfam family "Bacterial small subunit ribosomal RNA", at positions 30 to 523 of the family's 1533-position model. The record is from RNAcentral.
AUUGAACGCUGGCGGCAGGCUUAACACAUGCAAGUCGAGCGGGGUGAUGGUGCUUGCACUAUCACUUAGCGGCGGACGGGUGAGUAAUGCUUAGGAAUCUGCCUAUUAGUGGGGGACAACAUCUCGAAAGGGAUGCUAAUACCGCAUACGUCCUACGGGAGAAAGCAGGGGAUCACUUGUGACCUUGCGCUAAUAGAUGAGCCUAAGUCGGAUUAACUAGUUGGUGGGGUAAAGGCCUACCAAGGCGACGAUCUGUAGCGGGUCUGAGAGGAUGAUCCGCCACACUGGGACUGAGACACGGCCCAGACUCCUACGGGAGGCAGCAGUGGGGAAUAUUGGACAAUGGGGGGAACCCUGAUCCAGCCAUGCCGCAUGUGUGAAGAAGGCCUUAUGGUUGUAAAGCACUUUAAGCGAGGAGGAGGCUCUUUUGGUUAAUACCCAGAAUGAGUGGACGUUACUCGCAGAAUAAGCACCGGCUAACUCUGUGCCAGCCGCCGCGGUAA